GGGGAAUAUUGGACAAUGGGCGCAAGCCUGAUCCAGCCAUGCCGCGUGAGUGAUGAAGGCCCUAGGGUUGUAAAGCUCUUUCGGCGGGGACGAUAAUGACGGUACCCGCAGAAGAAGCCCCGGCUAACUUCGUGCCAGCAGCCGCGGUAAUACGAAGGGGGCUAGCGUUGUUCGGAAUCACUGGGCGUAAAGCGCACGUAGGCGGAUUGUUAAGUCAGGGGUGAAAUCCCGAGGCCAACCUCGGAACUGCCUUUGAUACUGGCAAUCUUCGAGUCCGGGAGAGGUGAGUGGAACUCCGAGCGUAGAGGUGAAAUUCGUAGAUAUUCGGAAGAACACCAGUGGCGAAGGCGGCUCACUGGCCCGGUACUGACGCUGAGGUGCGAAAGCGUGGGGAGCAAAC
RNAcentral lists this ribosomal RNA (400 nucleotides) under uncultured bacterium. Its description in RNAcentral is "bacterial SSU rRNA". It matches the Rfam family "Bacterial small subunit ribosomal RNA", at positions 356 to 773 of the family's 1533-position model. The record is from RNAcentral.